Molecule: long non-coding RNA, 3131 nt
Organism: Cucumis melo (muskmelon)
Lineage: Eukaryota; Viridiplantae; Streptophyta; Magnoliopsida; Cucurbitales; Cucurbitaceae
Exons: 2
Source: RefSeq, a predicted model, not a curated record
CUUUUCUACGUUUCAUGGCUCUCACUCUCUAGUACCUUAUCUCGAUUUCUUCAACUUCCAAUUCAACUAUCGGAAGUAAAUUGAUGCGGUAAUGUGGUGUGGUGUGGGCGAUGGAGGAGAUGGAGAUAUUGUAAAGAGGAAUUCCGGGAAAAACAGAAUUGCAGCAGAAGCAGAUGGAAAAGAGGAGUUGGAGAUGGAAAAAUGCAUGGAAGGGGGGGGAGAUUCGUGAAUCGGGACAGAACAAGCCAUAAAAAGCACCAUUUUUCGCCGGUGAGAUCUAAAUUUUUCCUCUGCCGUGUGGGAUCCUGAUGGAUGUGACUACUAAGCUUUCCCUGCCAUUUCGAUGCGAUGGGAAUGGGAAUGGCUCCAAAAUUUCGCCUAAAAUCCCCAAUUACAGGUCACAUCACUUCAAUUUCUAAACUCACUUUACUGUUCAUUCCCUAUUUUCCAAUCCAAUUCCAUUUUUCCCAAACCCUAGUUUUUCUUUUAAGCGAAUUCCAAUCACAUUCCUUACGUUUUAUCUGUAUGUUAAUGCAUAUGGUCUUCUGUAAUCUGUGAUACGAAGAUAAGUAGUAAUCAAAUAGUUGGUUUCCUAAUAGGAAUAGAUAUGAAGAUGACUUGAAUUGAAUUGAAUUGAAUUGAAGAGAGUGGAGUUAUAACAACACAUGCUAUAGUCUAUAGCUAUGAAUGUGGUACGUGUUUUUUAAUAUAUAUUGACACACACACACACAGGUAGUAGUACUAUAUAUAGUACCAGACAUUAGUCUUUUCUUCUGCAAAAGCAUCAGAAAUUACCAAAUCAUCAUGUGCACACAAAAGAGGAUUUUGAAAAGAGUUGGGUUAUAAUUGUAAAGAGGCGGAGGUGGGCUACAAGCCAGAAGUUAGCAAAAACUUAAUUAAAGAGAGCAUAAUUGUAGAAGUAGAACUAGAAAGAAACAGACUAGGUAGGGUGGUGAAGUGGAGACUUCAUUGUGUUUAAUAUUUGUUGCUUAAUUGGUUAUGGGUUUGGCAGAGUGGCUGGUUUGUCUGCCUCUUUUGUAGUUAGGCGCCCAAGAUGGGGUAAAUAUUUUAAAUACAGGCAAUGUUAGGUCUUUUCUGUAUGUCAAAUCUUCCGGUCAUUUCAUAUUUCCCUUUUUCUCCACUGCUUUAGAUUUCAUCAAUCAUCCAAAUCCACUCUCCUUACUCGUCAUUUAUUGGAUCUUUCAAUUCCUUUCUUUUCUUUAAUUUGCUUUGUUUAAUGAUCUUUUUGGUUACAGAUUGUCCAUCUUUUUAAGAAAAUUACAUAAAGGUUGUCUCACUCUCUCAGAUGUGUUUGUUUUCUCGACUUGUUUUUGGAUUUUUUUUUUUUUUUGAAAAAUAUCAGGAGAAGUAAGUAUGUGCAGAUAGAUAUUACGAGCUUGUUUAGAUUUUUAUCUGAAAAAGAAAAAGGGAUUACCUUUGCUUUUCGAAUAAAUAAAGGUGAUGUGAUUUGAAAAUUAAUCCUUAUAUCCGUGAUUUGUGAUUUCAAUUAAUUUUAACGAGACAUACAAUCACAACUUAAGAACAUUUUGUAUUAAACAGAAAAUAGAAUUGGGGGCAGCAGGGGUGCACAAUAUAUUGUUGCACCAAGGUUUUUCCUAUUUUAAAUUGCUUUCAUUUCCUCCAUUGAAAAGAAAUGCUUUGUUAUCCGUUAACUUUAGAAUAAUGGAGGGUGAUGUAGUUUGAAAAUCAUUCUAUUUGGUAUUUGUGAUUUCAUAUUAUCUAAAUCUUUACGUUGAAACAUAUAUAUAUAUUUUUUUUUGUUUAUAAAGAUUUAGUUAAUGUAGUUUCAAUUUAAUUCUUAAACUUUAUUUUAUAAUAAUUUAGUUAUUUUAUUUAAAUUGGUAACAAUUUUGUCCAUAUAUUAGAAAUUUAUGUUAAGUAAUUAGAUUCCUUUUUCUAAAUAAACCAAUAACAAAUUAGAAAAUCACUAAAUUAAAUGAUUAAAUUAUUAAAAACGGAACAAUUAUUGGACACUUUGUUGGUCUCUUUUAACUUAUUUGGUAACAAUUUAACAAUCCAACUUUAUCAAAAAAAAAAAAAAAAAAAAAAAGAGUUUUUUUGUAACAGUGACGUUCCUUAAUUUUAGAAUAAUUGAGGAUAAUGUCGUAUGAAAAAUAAUUUUAUCUCCGAUUUGUGAUUUCAAAUUAUCUGAACUUUUACAAGUUACACAACCUGUGAUACAUUUCUUAAAUAGAAAAUAGAAGCCUGCUGUUUUCUUAUUGAACACAUAUAAAAACAAGCCCUCCCUCUCAGCAAUCUUAUUUUAGAAACUCAGAAAUGAAGGCCAACCGGAGAAAAAAAUUUCAUUAUCUAAGGAAACUCUCAUUCCACAAAGACGUUUGAUUUCAGUUUAACACACAAUUUACAUUAAUAUCUAUUAAAACGAUCCUCAGCCCCGCCCCCCCGCAGUUUGACACAACUCUUUCUGUAGGACCUGCCUGUGCUUUGGAAGAGCUUGCUCGAUCAUGAAGAGAGGAGGAAGGAUGGCAGAUGACAAAAAUAUAUUUCACUUAAGCUCUCGCUUCCCCAGCAGCUCACAGCCCUAAGUUGCAAUUCCAAAAAACUUUCCCAUGAAGGAAAAAAAAAUAUACGUAUUGCCAGCAUGGUAGCUAGCUGCUUACCGAGUUAGUAAACCUAAACCAACUGAUUUCCAUUUGCUUUGUCCUGUAUUGUAACUUUCACUUUUUGUUCAGUAGGUUGGCCAAGUUUCGCAGAUCCUCAAAUGCAUGCAUUGUUUCAGCAUCGAACCCUCCUGCAAACUGUAGCCGUGAAAGGCAAAAGAAAAAAAUAAACACACACACACACAUUCAGCAAUAAUCCUUGUGUUUUCCUGAAGAAAAAUGCAGUGAACGAAAGCUUAUUAACCAAUUGGUACCUGAUGAAUUCUAAAGGCAAAUCUCACUCCUUGAAGAAGCAUGUAAUCCAUUGCGGGAUCUUUCUCCGAUGAAGCCUUUGAUUGAAGUUCCGUUGCUACUCUCUUCAUGUACAUUUUUGCCAACUUCACCGAACCCAACUUUAUCUACAACAUAGAGUUAAUACAUCAUAGAUUGCUGUUAUUCAGAAAUUAUCCAGCAAUAACAACACAUCUUAUUGACUCUUCAAACUGCUUA